Gadus macrocephalus (Pacific cod) is the source of this 1340-nucleotide long non-coding RNA. RefSeq lists it as uncharacterized. The transcript is spliced from 4 exons. Lineage: Eukaryota; Metazoa; Chordata; Actinopteri; Gadiformes; Gadidae. The record is from RefSeq and is a predicted model, not a curated record.
AAUGUAACUACAGGUGUGGGAUGACGAUGACUGUGCUUAUGUGUGUGGCCAGUAUGGUAACUGUCUGGCAACACCUACACGUCAGUAAAGUCAAAUAUUUCGCUGGCCGACGAAAAUAAGUUUCUCUUCAUCAAUUACUAUGACCACGUUUGAGAGUGGAACAGUAACUCAUCACAAUUUUUUUUUUAUCCCUUUCCUAAGUGUGUCAGACAUGUAUUCUGAGAUGAGUGAUACGCAGCUGGACGCCCUGGUGCUGGAGAUCCACAGGAUCCAUCUGUGUGGAUACCGGAUGUUGCGAUACAAUCUCCAGGGAAGAGGCCAUCUGGUCCAAAGUAUGUUCACCUACCUCUUGUACCUAUAAGCACCCGACUGAUGCUGUUGUCUGUUCUUGAUUUUCUGAUUUUCUGUACUAUGUGAAGUUCACAGAGUACGCCAAUCCUUAAAAAGAGUGGACCCUGAGGGCACAGAACAAAGAGCCCUGGCCAACCGAACUCUACAUAGGCGGCAAUAUUCAGUUCCUGGGCCCAACUGUAUGUGGCAUAUUGAUGGCAAUCACAAAUGAAUACGAUGGAGAUUUGUUAUCCACGGUGGGAUAGAUGGCUUCAGCCGCCUAGUGGUGUUCUUGUCAGCAGCCACCAACAACUGUGCCACAACAGUGCUGGAUGCUUUUCUUGGAGCUGUCAGGCAGUACGGUGUGCCAUCUCGUGUCCGGUCGGAUAAGGGGAGAGAACUUUGAGGUGGCAUAUUACAUGGUGGACAACUGUGGACCCAACCGCAAUUCCCACAUAACUGGGAGGAGUGUGCAUAAUCAAAGAAUUGAGCGACUUUGGAGAGAUGUUUACACACAAGUGCUCGAUCUCUUCCACGAAAUGGAAGCAUCAUGGAUGUUGAAUCCAGACAGUGAGAUCCACCUCUUCGCUCUCCACUGGGUUUUCCUGUCAUUGGUCCAGAGCCAUCUCAGGCAUUUCCAAGAUGCCUGGAAUUUUCACAGCCUGAGGACUGAAAAUAGCCAGUCACCCUACCAGCUGUGGCUACGCAACAUAAGUGCUGUUGCUGAUCCCCUAGAGGUUGACGAUCUUUAUGGUGCCAGUGUAGAUGGUCCGGACCUGGAAGACCUGGCUGGAGUCGACGUUCCGGAGAUCCAACUACCACGUGACCUGACUGCUGAGGAGCUCUCACGAUUGCCUCAGCGAAAUGUUUCACUGAAUGACGCUAUUGCUGUUUACAGCUCAGUUGUUGAGCAGUUACAAGACAUUUUUCAAACAGCAUGAUGUUCUCCCCAAGGAUUUGUAAAGAUUUGUUAAUAUUUGUAAAUAUAUAUGAAUCUACCUUCCCCUUUA